This 202-nucleotide long non-coding RNA is filed under the name Solanum tuberosum (potato). Its description in RNAcentral is "long non-coding RNA (STUB_LNC001385)". The record is from RNAcentral. Lineage: Eukaryota; Viridiplantae; Streptophyta; Magnoliopsida; Solanales; Solanaceae.
ACACAACAGGUUUUGGGGAGGUUGAAUUGUUGUCUUGGUAAUCAAAUGCUCAAUAAAUGUAAUCGAAUAUGACCCGCACGCGACUUUGGUGUCAUUUGUUACCACGAGUUCCAAUCGACCUUCAAAUUCUCAUGGUUCAUUGAGGAACUUAUCUGACAAAUGCUUCAUUAUUCCACUUUGCUUCAACAAUUUUGGCAGCAAC